GUGAAAACGCAGCGAAAUGCGAUACGUAAUGUGAAUUGCAAAUUCAGUGAAUCAUCGAGUCUUUGAACGCACAUUGCGCCCCCUGGUAUUCCGGGGGGCAUGCCUGUCCGAGCGUCAUUGCUGCCCUCAAGCACGGCUUGUGUGUUGGGCCCCGUCCUCCGAUCCCGGGGGACGGGCCCGAAAGGCAGCGGCGGCACCGCGUCCGGUCCUCGAGCGUAUGGGGCUUUGUCACCCGCUCUGUAGGCCCGGCCGGCGCUUGCCGAUCAACCCAAAUUUUUAUCCAGGUUGACCUCGGAUCAGGUAGGGAUACCCGCUGAACUUAAGCAUAUCAAUAAGCGGAGGA
RNAcentral lists this unclassified non-coding RNA (343 nucleotides) under soil metagenome. Its description in RNAcentral is "partial contains 5.8S ribosomal RNA, internal transcribed spacer 2, and large subunit ribosomal RNA". The stretch from base 4 to 117 matches the Rfam family "5.8S ribosomal RNA", at positions 40 to 154 of the family's 154-position model. The record is from RNAcentral.